AUAUGCAAGAAUUAGUCUUCGUUAAAAUUUAUGGGUAAGUAUUUCUAUGCAUUCUAGAAAGAGAAAAUGGAACCCCCAUAUACUUCUUAAAAUCCUUAGAAAAUCCUAGAUUACACCUACACCCAGCUUAUUAGUGAAAACUCGUUUACCACAAAAUUUCACAUUCUUAGAAAACUAAGCUGUUAUUUUAAUUGUAAGAGUGAGCAAUGUAAAUGAAAGAGCAACAAAAUUUCUAAUCAAAUUUUGCUUCAAUUUGGCAGGAAAUAGUACAUGGUCAAGAAAAUGCUUGAAAAGUCUUCGGUUUGUGGCUGGCAUUAAUUGCCAGGUCAUUGUGGAAUUCUGUCACGUUCAAGACGACAAAUCUGACCUGUUCUUGGACCCAUAAGCAAGGCAAUUUCUUUAUAUUUGAUUCUUUUCUUAGUUGGAAUGAAUGAUGCUCUUGCUAGCGCUUUGCAAAUUCCACAAAGUACACUCUCUUUCAAAGUCAUUUGCAAAUUCCACAAAGUCAUUGAUAA
RNAcentral lists this unclassified non-coding RNA (515 nucleotides) under Hevea brasiliensis (rubber tree). Lineage: Eukaryota; Viridiplantae; Streptophyta; Magnoliopsida; Malpighiales; Euphorbiaceae. The record is from RNAcentral.